GGUUGUAGCACUUACGGGAGGAAUACUGAAAUUACCUUUCAACUGACAUUACCGAUAGAAAAAGCACCGGCUAAUUCCGUGCCACGCCGCGGUAAUACGGGAGUGGCAGCGUAUCCGAAUUAUUGGGCGUAAAGCGUCGCAGGCGGUCUUGUAAGUCUGUCGUAAAGCGUGGAGCUUAACUCCAUUUGAGCGAUGGAAACUGCAGACUAGAGUGUGGUAGGGGCAGAGGGAAUUCCCGGUGUAGCGGUGAAAUGCGUAGAUAUCGGGAAGAACACCAGUUGGGGGNCGAAGGCGCUCUGCUGGGCCAUAACUGACGCUCAUGGACGAAAGCCAGGGGAGCGAAAGGGAUUAGAUACCCCUGUAGUCCUGGCCGUAAACGAUGAACACUAGGUGUCGGGGGCAAUCGACCCCCUCGGUGUCGUAGCCAACGCGUUAAGUGUUCCGCCUGGGGAGUACGCACGCAAGUGUGAAAA
RNAcentral lists this ribosomal RNA (473 nucleotides) under uncultured bacterium. Its description in RNAcentral is "bacterial SSU rRNA". It matches the Rfam family "Bacterial small subunit ribosomal RNA", at positions 421 to 900 of the family's 1533-position model. The record is from RNAcentral.